AGCGAACGCUGGCGGCAGGCUUAACACAUGCAAGUCGAGCGGGCAUCUUCGGAUGUCAGCGGCAGACGGGUGAGUAACACGUGGGAACGUACCCUUCGGUUCGGAACAACUCUGGGAAACUGGAGCUAAUACCGGAUACGCCCUUAUGGGGAAAGGUUUACUGCCGAAGGAUCGGCCCGCGUCUGAUUAGCUAGUUGGUGGGGUAACGGCCUACCAAGGCGACGAUCAGUAGCUGGUCUGAGAGGAUGAUCAGCCACACUGGGACUGAGACACGGCCCAGACUCCUACGGGAGGCAGCAGUGGGGAAUAUUGGACAAUGGGCGCAAGCCUGAUCCAGCCAUGCCGCGUGAGUGAUGAAGGCCUUAGGGUUGUAAAGCUCUUUUGUCCGGGACGAUAAUGACGGGACCGGAAGAAUAAACCCCGGCUAACUUCGU
Molecule: ribosomal RNA, 434 nt
Filed under: uncultured bacterium
Lineage: Bacteria
Description: partial 16S ribosomal RNA
Rfam family: Bacterial small subunit ribosomal RNA
Source: RNAcentral